AUUGCAUUUCUCAUUUUAAAGGCCGGAUCAUCCACAAAUUUUAUCACACUCUAUGAUGACUACAGACAGCCAAGUGACACGUGCCACCAGAAGCUAAAGGCAUUUUAUAUGUGCAAACAUACCCCCAACCCACCCACCACCACCAAAUUCAUGCAUAGCCACUGAUGCAAAUUAGUAAAAUUUUGUUCUGCAACCAUCAUUAAUCAGUCUAUCAAGCAAAGCGCACACUCAAAUGACAGCCACACUAUCCGUUAACUAGACUAAUCAUUUGAAACCCAGACACCUUAGAAUAACUUUUUAAACCAUGCCAUGUAAAGGAUACUGUAAUAACAAAGUCCUAAGUCACCUAUCAUUAAAAUUUUUAAAAAA
Molecule: unclassified non-coding RNA, 369 nt
Filed under: Hevea brasiliensis (rubber tree)
Lineage: Eukaryota; Viridiplantae; Streptophyta; Magnoliopsida; Malpighiales; Euphorbiaceae
Source: RNAcentral